AGACACCGUUGCUUGCAAAAUUCCACCCAGAAGAUAAGGGAGGGAGUAUCGCUGCAGCGUCCUGCUCUGUGCCUGGUUAUAUUACUGGAUCCUUGUGUUGCAGCCCUAAGAUAGAAGGAUUGUCUCCAUUUCACAGAUGAGAGAGAACUGAUGCGCAGGAGGCUGAAAUUGUCUGAAGUCACACAGCAGCCUCCUCUUAAACAUGACAAAGAAUCCAAGGACUUGUGCUGGGGCUGUCAGCUGCUAUUCUGGUGCCCUGGGGACGAAGAAGGGAUCUGGAGGGAAGACUGUCACCCUCUUGCGAAUGUUUCCAAGAAGCAGCUCAGCAUGGGAGAGAAAAGGGGAGAUCCCAGUUCCAGGAACACCUGGCCAGUGUUUCACCUGUUUAUCGGAGUUGACAGGACCAGCCAGCCCUUUCCCACCUCUCCCCAUCAUGAUGGAUGGGAGCCUGGCCUUUGAGAAAGCACAGAACGUGGCACGUUGGAGGAAAUCAGUAAGUGUUUGCUAAAGGUCCAACAAUGAAACAGAACAGAUAUAUCCAGUGCUAUGCCGCGUCAAAAGAGUAUGAGAGGUAUUGUGGUGAUGCUUUUGAAUGCUAAUCAGAAUAAGGAGGGUGACUAGUCCAUAGUUAUAUAGAAUAUAGGAUAUACAGAAUAUACCUUUUUCUGUAACGGGAUGUGUCACUUAACUUUGUUCCUUAAAGCUCCAGAAGCCCAAGGUCACCCACAAUGAUUCAAGUAUUAUCAAUGUUGAGAGCCUGUAAAAGCAUCAAGUAUAUUAUAGUUUCCAAAAAAUUGUGAAUUAGACUGAAAACCAGCAUUUAAAAAAUAAAGUGAUGUUG
This 841-nucleotide long non-coding RNA is filed under the name Homo sapiens (human). Its description in RNAcentral is "non-protein coding LINC00887:6". The record is from RNAcentral. Lineage: Eukaryota; Metazoa; Chordata; Mammalia; Primates; Hominidae.